RNAcentral lists this long non-coding RNA (1230 nucleotides) under Serinus canaria (Common canary). Its description in RNAcentral is "lncRNA (ENSSCAG00000008485.1)". Lineage: Eukaryota; Metazoa; Chordata; Aves; Passeriformes; Fringillidae. The record is from RNAcentral.
CCGCAGGUCAUUGACACCGUGCCCAUGGACGAGAGCACGGAGGAGAUGUUCCGCUACUUCGAGCCGCUCUACGAGGUGAUCCACGACAUGCCCCGGCCCCCCGAGUCCUUCUUCAGGAGCCGAGGGGGACCUGGGCUGGCUCCUGCCCCCGAGGCACUCGAGGGGAGCCAGGUGACAAGUGACUCUGAGGGGGACACAUUCAGUGACACCCUGGAGCAGAUGGAGCCUGAGAAGGCUGGGCAGGUGCAGGGGCUCACCCCAAAGGGGGUCCAGGCUGGGGCUGAGCCCCCAGAGCCCCACAGUGCUGGGCAGGGUGAGCGGGGCGAAGGCAGAAGAGCCGAGGGGAGCAGCAGCACAGACCUGCCAGCCCUGGGCUCCGAGACAGGUGGGUGCAGAGCUUGUCCCUGCGCCUCCUCCUGCUGCUGCUGCUGUUGCCCACCUCCAUGGGCUGGGCUGGGGGUGGGAGGGGACUGAGUUUGGCUCCAGCACCCAUGGUUGGGUGAUCAGAGGCUGAAGGAAGCCACAAGUGUCCUGUGUCCAAAUCCCUUGGUCCCCAAGCAGCUCAGCCCUCCUUUGGCCGUUUCCUGCCAUGGUACUGAAUUGCCUCAGUUUGGAGGGUGCUCUGCUGGCCCUCCAGCAGCCAGGCAGGAGAUGCAGGGCCCUGGCUUCCCAUGCCCAGGUCCAGCUACACCAGCGGUGCCUUCGGAUGUGGGUGGUGCCAAGGGUGAGCUCUGCCCAGCAGAGCAGGGGUGAAGCUGGGCCCUGUGCCCUGGAGGCCUUGGGGACAGCAGUGCCACUCGCCUGAUGCCACCCAGCAGUGCUGCUGGAGUCUGGGGACCACCAGGCCUUGAGCUGUGCCACCCUGUGUGCUGUCCCCAGACAUACUGGGCUGCCCUGGGGUGGCAUUGCCACUCUCACCCGUGGGACUGGUGCCAUUGCCUCACCUGGGCACACCCCACGUGUCUCACCCUUUCCCCUGUUACUGUUCCCUUCCGGGCUGCUUGACCUUGUCCCCAGGCCAGGCUGGGCUGUCCCCAGGGCUGGCAGCAAGUCCCUGCCUGUGUCCUGCUCCCUGCUUGGAUUAUCCAGGUGUUUGCCAGGCUGCUUUGGGGCCUCUGAUGGGCCCGGGGGCGGCCAGGGAGGAGCUGCCCUGGCCCUGGGUGUCCUGCCCUGUGGUGGCAGGUGUCACCAGGUGACCCACACACACCACAGCACCCACACCGUGGGUGG